ACCCGCACAAGCGGUGGAUGAUGUGGUUAAUUCGAUGCAACGCGAAAACCUUACCCACCUUUGACAUGUACGGAAUCCUUUAGAGAUAGAGGAGUGCUCGAAAGAGAGCCGUAACACAGGUGCUGCAUGGCUGUCGUCAGCUCGUGUCGUGAGAUGUUGGGUUAAGUCCCGCAACGAGCGCAACCCUUGUCAUUAGUUGCUACGAAAGGGCACUCUAAUGAGACCGCCGGUGACAAACCGGAGGAAGGUGGGGAUGACGUCAAGUCCUCAUGGCCCUUAUAGGUGGGGCUACACACGUCAUACAAUGGCUGGUACAAAGGGUUGCCAACCCGCGAGGGGGAGCCAAUCCCAUAAAGCCAGUCGUAGUCCGGAUCGCAGUCUGCAACUCGACUGCGUGAAGUCGGAAUCGCUAGUAAUCGUGGAUCAGCAUGUCACGGUGAAUACGUUCCCGGGUCUU
Molecule: ribosomal RNA, 457 nt
Filed under: uncultured Comamonas sp.
Lineage: Bacteria; Pseudomonadati; Pseudomonadota; Betaproteobacteria; Burkholderiales; Comamonadaceae
Description: bacterial SSU rRNA
Rfam family: Bacterial small subunit ribosomal RNA
Source: RNAcentral